GCAACUCGCCUACACGAAGCUGGAAUCGCUAGUAAUCGCGGAUCAGCACGCCGCGGUGAAUACGUUCCCGGGCCUUGUACACACCGCCCGUCACACCAUGAGAGUCUGUAACACCCAAAGCCGGUGGGAUAACCUUUAUAGGAGUCAGCCGUCUAAGGUAGGACAGAUGAUUAGGGUGAAGUCGUAACAAGGUACC
This 196-nucleotide ribosomal RNA is filed under the name uncultured bacterium. RNAcentral's name for it is "partial 16S ribosomal RNA". It matches the Rfam family "Bacterial small subunit ribosomal RNA", at positions 1307 to 1500 of the family's 1533-position model. The record is from RNAcentral.